GAAUUGAUCUUGGUCAGGAUUAACGCUGGCGGCGUGCCUAAUACAUGCAAGUCGGAUGGUAGCAAUACCAUGGCGAACGGGUGAGUAACACGUAGGUAACCUGUCAUUAAGACGAGAAUAACCAUUGGAAACGAUGGAUAAUGCUGGAUAGGAUAUUUAAGGGCAUCCUUGAAUAUUUAAAGAUUUAUCACUUAAUGAGGGGCCUGCGGCGCAUUAGCUAGUUGGAAGGUAAAAGCUUACCAAGGCGAUGAUGCGUAGCCGGACUGAGAGGUUGAACGGCCACAAUGGAACUGAGAACGGUCCAUACUCCUACGGGAGGCAGCAGUAGGGAAUUUUCGGCAAUGGGCGGAAGCCUGACCGAGCCAACGCCGCGUGAUCGAUGAAGUAUUUCGGUAUGUAAAGAUCUUUUAUUAGGGAAGAAAAGACAGAUUGACGGUACCUAAUGAAUAAGCUCCGGCUAACUACGUGCCAGCCGCCGC
RNAcentral lists this ribosomal RNA (479 nucleotides) under uncultured bacterium. RNAcentral's name for it is "bacterial SSU rRNA". It matches the Rfam family "Bacterial small subunit ribosomal RNA", at positions 9 to 518 of the family's 1533-position model. The record is from RNAcentral.